AGUGAACGCUGGCGGUAGGCCUAACACAUGCAAGUCGAACGGCAGCACAGUAAGAGCUUGCUCUUACGGGUGGCGAGUGGCGGACGGGUGAGGAAUACAUCGGAAUCUACUUUUUCGUGGGGGAUAACGUAGGGAAACUUACGCUAAUACCGCAUACGACCUACGGGUGAAAGCAGGGGAUCUUCGGACCUUGCGCGAUUGAAUGAGCCGAUGUCGGAUUAGCUAGUUGGCGGGGUAAAGGCCCACCAAGGCGACGAUCCGUAGCUGGUCUGAGAGGAUGAUCAGCCACACUGGAACUGAGACACGGUCCAGACUCCUACCGGAGGCAGCAGUGGGGAAUAUUGGACAAUGGGCGCAAGCCUGAUCCAGCCAUACCGCCUGGGUGAAGAAGGCCUUCGUGUUGUAAAGCCCUUUUGUUAGGAAAGAAAAGCAGCAGGUUAAUACCCCGCUGUUCUGACGUUACCCAAAGAAUAAGCACCGGCUAACUUCGUG
Molecule: ribosomal RNA, 492 nt
Filed under: uncultured bacterium
Lineage: Bacteria
Description: partial 16S ribosomal RNA
Rfam family: Bacterial small subunit ribosomal RNA
Source: RNAcentral